Molecule: ribosomal RNA, 253 nt
Filed under: uncultured Oscillospiraceae bacterium
Lineage: Bacteria; Bacillati; Bacillota; Clostridia; Eubacteriales; Oscillospiraceae
Description: partial 16S ribosomal RNA
Rfam family: Bacterial small subunit ribosomal RNA
Source: RNAcentral
UACGUAGGGAGCAAGCGUUAUCCGGAUUUACUGGGUGUAAAGGGCGAGUAGGCGGGCUGGCAAGUUGGGAGUGAAAUCCCGGGGCUUAACCCCGGAACUGCUUUCAAAACUGCUGGUCUUGAGUGAUGGAGAGGCAGGCGGAAUUCCGUGUGUAGCGGUGAAAUGCGUAGAUAUACGGAGGAACACCAGUGGCGAAGGCGGCCGCCUGGCCUGUUGCUGACGCUGAGGCACGAAAGCAUGGGUAGCGAACAGG